RNAcentral lists this long non-coding RNA (1323 nucleotides) under Monodelphis domestica (gray short-tailed opossum). RNAcentral's name for it is "lncRNA (ENSMODG00000039720.1)". The record is from RNAcentral. Lineage: Eukaryota; Metazoa; Chordata; Mammalia; Didelphimorphia; Didelphidae.
GGGUCACAUAGCUAGUGUCUAAGAUCAUAAUAGAACUCUAGUCUUAACUCCAAAUCCAGUGCUCUAACCACUGCAUCACAACAGUGAAUAGUAUUUGUAUAUGUGUGUAUUCUCUAUGCGUAUUUAUGUAUACACCCAUAGCACUUUAAGGUUUGCAAAGCGAUGAACAUGUCUACACUUGAUACAACAAUACAAGGAGAUUAUCUCCAUUUUAAAGAUAAGGUAACCAAGACAGAGAGGUUGGGGUCUUGCCCAAAGUCACACAGCUAUUAAGUGAGCCCUUGUGAUGCAGUAAGCAAAUAAAACCUGCCCGCAAGCCCCUGCUAUCUGCCAGGUUUCUUACUACAGAGUAGUCCUCUCCAGUCUAAUGCCGCCCUUUCCCCCCCGCGUGUGCUGCAGCUCCGGGGUUAAAUCUUUCCCGGUGCAAAUAAAGAACCAGCCAUGGAAAAUUCUUGGACUAUGGGUACAAAGGAGGAGUCCCUAUCAAGGUGAGGAAAUAGUACCUGAGAGGGAUGAAGACUUGCUCUAAGUCACAGUUAGUGACAGACAUCAGACUAGAACUCAGAUCAUCUGACUUGCUUCCGCAAUGACCAGAAGACCAAGGGCCACCAUCUCCAUUUUCCAGCUAAGGGAGAGCUCUGGCUGGAAACAGAUAGAAGCUAAGGGAAACUGAAGGAGGCUGAAUCAUUCAUUUCUACUUCUUUCUUCUCAUUCCUAUAGCAAUACAUCAGGACUAGGAGGAUGAAGGACUUGAAAAUUGAUAAAUGCCUAAGAGGACUACAAAUCAAAUCUUAUGAGAGUUCUGAGAAAGGGAAGAAAAUGUUCUAUAGGUUCAUCUUAUACCUCCUCCUUUUAUGGCAUUCCUAAUGUCACAUUCUCCAAACUAGGUCCUUCAACAUAUAGAUUCAAUUAAAAAAAACAAACCCUUACCUUCCUUCUUGGAAUCAAUACAAUGCAGAAGAGUGGUAAGGGCUAGGCAAUGUGGGUUAAGUGACUUGCGCAGGGUCACACAGCUGGGAAGUGUCUAAGGCCAGAUUUGAACCCCAGACCUCCCAUCUCUAGGCCUGGCUCUCAAUCCACUGAUCUGUCCAGCUGCUCCCUAGAUGCAAUUUUAAUAAUAAUUUUCUGCCAUUUUGUGAUCCAUAUUCUCUCCUUCCUUCCCCUCCUCUUCCCUCUCCUUAAGGUAGCAGGUAAUAUGACAUAAGUUAUAUAUGUACUAUCAUGUAAUAUGUGUUUCCAUGUCUGCCAUGUUGUGAAAGAAGAUACAUAUAUAUCACUUAUACUAGGGGGAAAAAACCUCAUGAAAGAAAUGAAAUAAAAAAU